GCAGAUAUAGUUUAACAAAAAUGUUGGAUUGUGAUUCCAAAGAAAAGGGUUCAACCCCCUUUAUCCGCC
Molecule: transfer RNA, 69 nt
Filed under: Clupeoides sp. Chao Phraya
Lineage: Eukaryota; Metazoa; Chordata; Actinopteri; Clupeiformes; Clupeidae
Description: tRNA-His
Rfam family: tRNA
About the family: Transfer RNA (tRNA) molecules are approximately 80 nucleotides in length. Their secondary structure includes four short double-helical elements and three loops (D, anti-codon, and T loops).
Source: RNAcentral